CUGCGCCACAAGUGGCAAUCACGGUUAUUGGGCCUAAAGCGUCCGUAGCCGGUUUAGCAAAUCUUUUGUGAAAUCGUCAGGCUUAACUUGACGAAUUGCAGAAGACACUACUAAACUAGGGACUGGGAGGAGUCAGAAGUAUUCUGGGGGGACCGGUAAAAUGGUAUAAUCCCCAGAGGACUACCGAUGGCGAAGGCAUCUGACCAGAACAGAUCCGACGGUGAGGGACGAAAGCCAGGGGAGCAAACCGGAUUAGAUACCCGAGUAGUCC
Molecule: ribosomal RNA, 271 nt
Filed under: uncultured archaeon
Lineage: Archaea
Description: partial 16S ribosomal RNA
Rfam family: Archaeal small subunit ribosomal RNA
Source: RNAcentral